RNAcentral lists this ribosomal RNA (495 nucleotides) under uncultured bacterium. Its description in RNAcentral is "partial 16S ribosomal RNA". It matches the Rfam family "Bacterial small subunit ribosomal RNA", at positions 28 to 507 of the family's 1533-position model. The record is from RNAcentral.
GACGAACGCUGGCGGCGUGCCUAAUACAUGCAAGUAGAACGCUGAAGGAGGAGCUUGCUCUUCUGGAUGAGUUGCGAACGGGUGAGUAACGCGUAGGUAACCUGCCUGGUAGCGGGGGAUAACUAUUGGAAACGAUAGCUAAUACCGCAUAAGAGUAGAUGUUGCAUGACAUUUGCUUAAAAGGUGCAAUUGCAUCACUACCAGAUGGACCUGCGUUGUAUUAGCUAGUUGGUGGGGUAACGGCUCACCAAGGCGACGAUACAUAGCCGACCUGAGAGGGUGAUCGGCCACGCUGGGACUGAGACACGGCCCAGACUCCUACGGGAGGCAGCAGUAGGGAAUCUUCGGCAAUGGACGGAAGUCUGACCGAGCAACGCCGCGUGAGUGAAGAAGGUUUUCGGAUCGUAAAGCUCUGUUGUAAGAGAAGAACGAGUGUGAGAGUGGAAAGUUCACACUGUGACGGUAUCUUACCAGAAAGGGACGGCUAACUACGUG